CAGCCGCCGCGGGAAUACGAAGGGGGCUAGCGUUGUUCGGAAUUACUGGGCGUAAAGCGCACGUAGGCUGACAUUUAAGUCAGGGGUGAAAUCCCGGGGCUCAACCUCGGAACUGCCUUUGAUACUGGGUGUCUUGAGUGUGGAAGAGGUAAGUGGAAUUGCGAGUGUAGAGGUGAAAUUCGUAGAUAUUCGCAGGAACACCAGUGGCGAAGGCGGCUUACUGGUCCACAACUGACGCUGAGGUGCGAAAGCGUGGGGAGCAAACAGGAUUAGAUACCCCAGUAGUCCCUGUCUCUUAUAA
Molecule: ribosomal RNA, 301 nt
Filed under: uncultured bacterium
Lineage: Bacteria
Description: partial 16S ribosomal RNA
Rfam family: Bacterial small subunit ribosomal RNA
Source: RNAcentral